Capsicum annuum is the source of this 602-nucleotide long non-coding RNA. RefSeq lists it as uncharacterized. The transcript is spliced from 3 exons. Lineage: Eukaryota; Viridiplantae; Streptophyta; Magnoliopsida; Solanales; Solanaceae. The record is from RefSeq and is a predicted model, not a curated record.
UUGCAAGAAAAAGAACUUAGGAGGCCAAUAACUGAAGGUUGAGGCAUUCAAGGCUACAUACACAAGGCUGACCUAUAAUCGAUAUCUGCAAUGCAUAGAGGAUUUUCGUCAAACUCUUCUAGAAGAUAGGCGAGACAUACCACUUAGCCAAGAGCAGAAUGAGAGAAUGCAUUCAGUUGGUGGCCCAAGUAGGUUAGGGAAAGGCAAAGACAUAUACAGUAUGCAGGAAUGAAGGCCCAAUUCGAUGCAUUACUUAAAUCGGGGGAUUCUCCCUUGUCCCGAUGAUGUAGUGCGCCCUCCUCGACCUCCACAGUCUCUACCUAUUUCACAUGGAGUAUAUGGUCAAUACAGAGAUGUGACUAAGGAGCCCAGUAGUGAUGAAGAUGAUAAGGAUUACUAUGUGGACAAUACACCACCGCGUUGUUAGAGUUGAAUGUUGUCUAGAUUAUUCAAACUAUAUACUUCAUGGUGGUUUAUUUGAAUUCUUAGGAGUUUUUGAAUGCAUUAAAACUUUAAUGUAGUAUGAACAAUAGUAUUGUUAAAUAACUUAUGACUUUUAUAUUUUGUUCGUUCAAUAUCAAGGUAUUUAAAUUUUAUUUUCA